This 275-nucleotide ribosomal RNA is filed under the name uncultured bacterium. RNAcentral's name for it is "partial 16S ribosomal RNA". It matches the Rfam family "Bacterial small subunit ribosomal RNA", at positions 399 to 691 of the family's 1533-position model. The record is from RNAcentral.
GCGUGAGUGAAGAAGGCCCUAGGGUUGUAAAGCUCUUUCGUCGGUGAAGAUAAUGACGGUAACCGAAGAAGAAGCCCCGGCUAACUCCGUGCCAGCAGCCGCGGUAAUACGGAGGGGGCUAGCGUUGUUCGGAAUUACUGGGCGUAAAGCGCACGUAGGCGGAUUGUUAAGUCAGGGGUGAAAUCCUGGGGCUCAACCUCAGAACUGCCCUUGAUACUGGCAAUCUCGAGUCCGGAAGAGGUUAGUGGAAUUCCCAGUGUAGAGGUGAAAUUCGU